This 305-nucleotide ribosomal RNA is filed under the name uncultured bacterium. RNAcentral's name for it is "bacterial SSU rRNA". It matches the Rfam family "Bacterial small subunit ribosomal RNA", at positions 335 to 657 of the family's 1533-position model. The record is from RNAcentral.
AAUCCUACGGGACGCAGCAGUGGGGAAUAUUGCACAAUGGGGGAAACCCUGAUGCAGCAACGCCGCGUGAGUGAAGAAGUAUUUCGGUAUGUAAAGCUCUAUCAGCAGGGAAGAGAAUGACGGUACCUGACUAAGAAGCCCCGGCUAACUACGUGCCAGCAGCCGCGGUAAUACGUAGGGGGCAAGCGUUAUCCGGAUUUACUGGGUGUAAAGGGAGCGUAGACGGCAUGGCAAGUCUGAUGUGAAAACCCGGGGCUCAACCCCGGGACUGCAUUGGAAACUGUCAGGCUCGAGUGUCGGAGAGG